RNAcentral lists this long non-coding RNA (1487 nucleotides) under Triticum aestivum (bread wheat). Its description in RNAcentral is "long non-coding RNA (TAES_LNC019427)". Lineage: Eukaryota; Viridiplantae; Streptophyta; Magnoliopsida; Poales; Poaceae. The record is from RNAcentral.
UUCUCACGCCGUCCCGCGGUCUCGUGUCGCUCGAUGGCCUCACUGCUCGGUAGCUACUUCACUGUAACAAUGGGAACCAAUCUUGUUUAGAGAGAAGUUUUUGUCAGUGAAAAGUACAAAAUGCAUGGAUCAUCAUGAAAACGAAUAGCAGUACAUCAUAACCAAGUGAAGAAAUAAAUAAGUGAAAGGAACUUGCAGAAAUCAAUUGCUUAUGCAAGGAUAAUCUGCAAAAUAUGUUUGUUAAGACAAAUCUAAAAACCAAACUGCUUGUGUGACUCUAAUUACGAAUUAAAUUGCUGAACCAAAUAUGUUUGUCAAUACAAAUCUGAAAACCAAACUGCUUGUGUGACCUUAAUACGAAUUAAAUUGCUGAACCUCAGUAAUAGUGGAAAAUAUAUUAAUAACCUACAGGGUAAGACUUCCAAUCCUAUUGUUUGCUAGCAUGCAUAGCAAUGUGACUCCCAGCAUACACCAACAAUGCAAAAAAAAAUUAGAGCUGGAAAGCAUGAAUACCUAAUACAAAGAACAUAAUGAUGAAAAACUAAUCCAAGCUGAACAGAAUCAAAUCCUACAGCUCAUCCAUCUUAUGAGGAAAGGAUUCCUGCUUCCAAAAUCUAAUUGUCUCUGCAAAUUCAUAUGACCAUUAUAAGAAUAAUUAAUAUAUCUCACCAUGAGCGCCCAGAUCUUAUUGGAGCUGCUGUGUCUAGGCAUAAAAAGGGCAACACCUAACUGUAACUUCUUUAUACGAUUGAAGAAAAUUUGAUAUACAUUUGUCAAACAAUAGGAGCCGGCAUACCCAUGUGUCUUGAGAUUCCACAUGAUGUAAAUUAAUUAGCAACCCAUUAUUCUAGUAACCCAAUUAACUCCCACCAUCAUACAAUUUUUUGAAUCAUAUGGAAGGAGAGUUAGUCUCAUAUGUGGGAUUUACCUCAAGGAUCUGUGACUGAAACUGGCUAGGACAAACACACAAACACCUUGUGUGCAAACAAUAACUGAGGACAUCCACAAACACAUGUGCGUCUAAAUUGAGGUGGAGGGUGGUGCAGAGGGGGCGGAGAGGUCGCGGGAAAGUGCAGCGACGACCGGCCGGUGGUGGCUCUGGUAGAGCGACGAGCGCGAGCCCUCCCGGGCGGCAUACAACGAGGAGCUCAGGCGCGCGAAGGAAAGGAGGAGAUGAAGCAGACUCGUGGUGCAGGGUGCUUCGAUCACCUCCGUCAUCCAUCGGCCGGCGGCCGGCGCGGCACCGGACCAGCUGGCGGUGGCUCUGGUCGAGCGGCGAGCGCGAGCCCUCUUGGGCGGCGUACAACAAGAAGCUCGGGCGCGCGAAGGAAAGGAUCAGCUGAGGCAGACCGGUGGUGAAGUGUGGUCCGAUCACCGGCGUCGGACAUCGGCAGGCGGCCGGCGCGGCACCGGAUCGACCGUCACGCAGGUCGUGCGCCUCCUGGCGGCUGGGAUCAGGAGGAAAGGGAGAGAGAGGAGAGCCCGUG